Molecule: long non-coding RNA, 610 nt
Filed under: Equus caballus (horse)
Lineage: Eukaryota; Metazoa; Chordata; Mammalia; Perissodactyla; Equidae
Description: lncRNA (ENSECAG00000054499.1)
Source: RNAcentral
GCCGGAGAAGAGGGGAAUGGGGAAUGACUGCUAAGGCGUAUGGGUUUUGUUUGGGGUGAGGAAAAUAUCCUGGACUUAGAUAUUGGUGACGGUUGCACAACUCUGUACCAUUUGUUUUGUUUACUCAGUGCCAGGCACCCUGCGUACAUCACUUGGUUUAACCGUCACAAUUACCCGGUAAAUGGGAAUUCUCAGCUGCGUUUCAGACAAGGAACCUACAGCCUGGAAGGGUUAGUUAACCUAAAAGGGGAAGAAUUCUCAAUUUCCACACCAGAUGUGCAUGCCCAUUUACCUCCAGGAAAACACACAGAGAAAUAGCUGCAUUGAAGAUUCCUAACUUUACUAAGGGAAAGAAGACUGAAGAAUACAUCCUCCAGUGGAAAAUUCUGCUGAACCAUUUUCCUCCUCAAUUCACCUCAACUUGUUACUAGAAAGAGCUGUGAGUCGGGGCCAACUCAGAGUGUGGCACUCUUCUGAGGAAUGUGAUGUGCCUCAGAUAAUUUGCAUAGGCUUUUCUUGAAAGGCAGAAGAUGAAUACUAAUAAAUUUAAUUAGCCAGUGCUUUUCUUGAAAUGUAUCUGAAAGCAGAUGACAGAUCUCCAUAAUCAAAC